UGGGGUGUAGGGGGAGGGGUAGUUGUAUGGGUGGCAGUGCUGAGGAUGGGGUGUAGGGGGAAGGGGUAGUUGUAUGGGUGGCAGUGCUGAGGACGGUGUAGGGGGAGGGGUAUUGUAUGGAUGGCAGAGCUGACGAUGGCGUUUAGGGGGAAGGGAUAGUUGGGGGUGGGCAGAGCAGUGGUGGACUGGACAGAGGUGUGGUGGGUUCAAAGAUUAGCAUAUUUUCAUUUUCAGCUAGUGUACAAGGAAUGGAAAAAGCACGAAAAGACGAGAGGCAUGUGCUCCACCUGUAACCCCGUUUCUAGCUGGGCCUGCCAGAGCAAACCCAAGGGCUCCAGUCAUUUUGCAGAUGCGCUAGUGACCGUCUGCUCCUUCUAGUGAACAGUAUAGUGCAGUAUAGUGCAGGGCCCAGAGAGUGAGAUUCAAGAGUGAAUCAUCGCUCCCAGCAAACAUGGAGAUAGGAUGCAACAGGAGAACCUCCUUUUUGCCCCGAACUCCACACUCAGUACAGGAGCGGUCACUUGUACUGAACGGGGGUGUAGCAACCCUGCAGUAUAGUAAAGAUAGAGAUAUAGAUAUAGAGAUACAGUCGUGAAACACAACCUGCAGGGCAAGACUCGGCCCCGUGCAGAGGGACAACACUAGGCGAACGGCACCCCUAGUGAACUCCAGGUGACCCCUUUCUUUCUGGUUAUUUAUAGGGAAGCCCCGUGCGCAGGGAGACCAGAGACAGUGGAGCCCCGCAUGUGGGGAACGCAGAUAGAGGGAGCGCAGUGACCCGAGGCAUUUGCAGUGUGUGGGAAGCAGAUAUUUUCUAAUCUCACUUCUGUUUAUUUUUGUAGCUGUCCCUCUGUAAAUAGAAUUGGUUUGGCA
Gopherus flavomarginatus (Mexican gopher tortoise) is the source of this 873-nucleotide long non-coding RNA. RefSeq lists it as uncharacterized. NCBI's taxonomy places the organism in Eukaryota, Metazoa, Chordata, Testudines, Testudinidae. The record is from RefSeq and is a predicted model, not a curated record. The transcript is spliced from 3 exons.